Molecule: non-coding RNA, 72 nt
Organism: Dallia pectoralis (Alaska blackfish)
Lineage: Eukaryota; Metazoa; Chordata; Actinopteri; Esociformes; Umbridae
Source: the annotation of a GenBank genome assembly
GCUGACGUAGCUCAGUGGUAGAGUGCAUGCUUUGUAUGUAUGAUGUCCUGGGUUCAAUCCCCAGCAUCUCCC